Molecule: ribosomal RNA, 468 nt
Filed under: uncultured bacterium
Lineage: Bacteria
Description: partial 16S ribosomal RNA
Rfam family: Bacterial small subunit ribosomal RNA
Source: RNAcentral
GACGAACGCUGGCGGCGGGCUUAACACAUGCAAGUCGAACGGAAAGGCCCUGCGUUUGUGGGGUGCUCGAGUGGCGAACGGGUGAGUAACACGUGAGUAACCUGCCCUUGACUUUGGGAUAACUUCAGGAAACUGGGGCUAAUACCGGAUAGGAGCUCCUGCUGCAUGGUGGGGGUUGGAAAGUUUCGGCGGUUGGGGAUGGACGCGCGGCUUAUCAGCUUGUUGGUGGGGUAGUGGUUUACCAAGGCAUUGACGGGUAGGCGGCCUGAGAGGGUGAACGGGGACAAGGGGACUGAGAGACGGACCAGUGGCGUACGGGAGGCAGCGGGGGGGAACCUUGUACAGUGGGCGGAAGCCUGAUGCAGCAACGCCGCGGGCGGGAUGACGGCCUGUGGGGUGUAAACCGCUUUCGCCUGUGACGAAGCGUGAGUGACGGUAAUGGGUGAAGAAGCACCGGCUAACUACGUG